RNAcentral lists this ribosomal RNA (251 nucleotides) under uncultured bacterium. RNAcentral's name for it is "partial 16S ribosomal RNA". It matches the Rfam family "Bacterial small subunit ribosomal RNA", at positions 524 to 776 of the family's 1533-position model. The record is from RNAcentral.
UACGGAGGGGCUAGCGUUGUUCGGAAUUACUGGGCGUAAAGCGCACGUAGGCGGCUUUGUAAGUUAGAGGUGAAAGCCCGGGGCUCAACUCCGGAAUUGCCUUUAAGACUGCAUCGCUAGAAUUGUGGAGAGGUAAGUGGAAUUCCGAGUGUAGAGGUGAAAUUCGUAGAUAUUCGGAAGAACACCAGUGGCGAAGGCGACUUACUGGACACAUAUUGACGCUGAGGUGCGAAAGCGUGGGAGCAAACAGG